Molecule: transfer RNA, 86 nt
Filed under: Methanomethylovorans hollandica DSM 15978
Lineage: Archaea; Methanobacteriati; Methanobacteriota; Methanomicrobia; Methanosarcinales; Methanosarcinaceae
Description: tRNA-Ser (CGA) (tRNA-Ser-CGA-1-1)
Rfam family: tRNA
About the family: Transfer RNA (tRNA) molecules are approximately 80 nucleotides in length. Their secondary structure includes four short double-helical elements and three loops (D, anti-codon, and T loops). Further hydrogen bonds mediate the characteristic L-shaped molecular structure. tRNAs have two regions of fundamental functional importance: the anti-codon, which is responsible for specific mRNA codon recognition, and the 3' end, to which the tRNAs corresponding amino acid is attached (by aminoacyl-tRNA synthetases). tRNAs cope with the degeneracy of the genetic code in two manners: having more than one tRNA (with a specific anti-codon) for a particular amino acid; and 'wobble' base-pairing, i.e. permitting non-standard base-pairing at the 3rd anti-codon position.
Source: RNAcentral
GCCGAGGUGGCAGAGCGGACCAAUGCGAUCGGCUCGAGACCGGUUUCCCCUGACGGGGUGCUUGGGUUCGAAUCCCAACCUCGGCG